Molecule: long non-coding RNA, 410 nt
Filed under: Brachypodium distachyon (stiff brome)
Lineage: Eukaryota; Viridiplantae; Streptophyta; Magnoliopsida; Poales; Poaceae
Description: long non-coding RNA (BDIS_LNC000772)
Source: RNAcentral
CCAGCCUGUUCUACCGCCGGGUCAGCCGCCACCUUGCCCGGCUGGCCUGGUCUUCCUCCCGAUCGAGGCCGCCGCGAGCAGUACAUGGGUCAUGGACUCAUGGGGUCGUGCUGGUCCGACGGCAAGGUACUCAAGGCAAACGUGAUUGUGUGAACUGUGAAGUCACGGAAGCAAAAAAAAAAAAGGGAGAAUUGGAAACAGAUUGAUAUUCCUGGGCGCUACUCGCCUGAAUUGCUCGAUUGUUUGGGCUCCUGCAAAGCAGAGGAAAUACUCGUGGAAGGGAACCAACUGCUCGUAUUCAGCUACGAUCAAGAAUCAACUACCAUGUUCAAUCUUUAUGGGACAAGUCCGGAUAUUAUUGGUUGCGGCUACCGGUGUAAAGGAUAUAAUAUUUUCCCCGACCUAAUCGC